Molecule: unclassified non-coding RNA, 212 nt
Filed under: Pseudorhypophila marina
Lineage: Eukaryota; Fungi; Ascomycota; Sordariomycetes; Sordariales; Naviculisporaceae
Also listed under: 1 other name
Description: Zopfiella marina partial internal transcribed spacer region
Rfam family: Eukaryotic small subunit ribosomal RNA (bases 1-46)
Source: RNAcentral
AAGUCGUAACAAGGUCUCCGUUGGUGAACCAGCGGAGGGAUCAUUAAAGAGUUGCAAAACUCUCACAAACCAUCGCGAACGUUACCCAGACGUCGUUGCUUCGGCGGGCUCGCCCGCCGGGGGGACGCUACCAGACUCUUGCAGUUCUUCGGCCUCUCUGAGUACGAUUUUUAAAUAAGUCAAAACUUUCAACAACGGAUCUCUUGGUUCUG